CGACGCGAGGAUCGACUUUCCUCAAAGCGGGCCGAGCAUCCGGGCUCGGGAAGGCGGCCAAAACGAGCCAAACGUCCGCUGCAUACCCAUUUUCCAACUCUCUGAUUGCUGCUAGUUGGGGGCGAAGGAGGGCAGAUCCGGAGCUGGUUCGGCGGAGGAAUGGCGGAUCCGGCGCCGGUUGAGGCGCACAAGGGCCGAGGGACUUCCGGCGAGCUGAGGCGGGGGUGCACGGCGGCUCACGGUGGCUGAUCCGUGACCUAGGCUGGUCGGACAGCCUCCCAAACGUGAAGACGAGCGAGGACGACGGCGAAUGAGGGAAGAGCAGCGGCGUGAGCGGGCGAAGGAGAAUCGGCAACGAGCUGGCUUCGGCGGCUUCGGCGGUUCCGGCGACGGGCGACGAGCGGCGAAGGAGGCGGACGGCGAGGGGCUGCUUCGGCUUCUUCCUCUGCAAUUUUUCUGGUCUUUCGCACAAAGAAGAUGGAGGAGAAGCCAACGGAAGGGAGAGAGGAAGGAGAGAGAAGGAGGAGAGAGAGAGAUGGGACCAUUUUUCUUUUCUUUUUCUUUUUCUUUAAUCCCACCAAAUGGCCCACCAUGACCUAGGAUGACAUCACACUCCACUAUCUCCCACAACCUCUUCCAAUGGGUUCACUUGCAAUUUCCGCCGGGGUCCAAUUCUUGUACAUCAAAUUCUUCAAUUAUAAUCAAU
RNAcentral lists this long non-coding RNA (706 nucleotides) under Eucalyptus grandis. Its description in RNAcentral is "long non-coding RNA (EGRA_LNC007047)". Lineage: Eukaryota; Viridiplantae; Streptophyta; Magnoliopsida; Myrtales; Myrtaceae. The record is from RNAcentral.